AAGACACUUAGAGCGGUUCUCUCUGGUGGUAAACUCUCAUCAGCGUCAGAAGGCAUAUGUUGUCUUGGGUCAGUUUCUUCAUCUGAGAAAAGAUGAACUGUUUAUAGAAUGGUUGAAAGAUACUUGUGGAGCCAGUUCCAAACAGGCCUCCACGUGUUAAAGAGAGUGGUGUGAUUCCUUCCUGUAAGAAAUAUACUGCACCCCCAUCUCCUGAGUACAUAUUCUUUGAAAACCUCAAUCGAUUCCAUCACAUCGCUGUCAGCUGUAUGGUCUGAAGAAUACUUGAAUGCUGUUUCAAAGCUUGAUUUGUUUCUUGUGAUUUAAAACAUGAUUUAAGAUUUUUAAUGAUGGGUUCUUAAACUUUCAAUGUUCAAAUGUAAGUUUGAAAUAACUUGAACCAGCUACAACAUUAAACCAAUUUAUGCCAAUAGCUUCCACUGUGAAACAACACAUCCAAUUUUAAAAAAAUAAAAUAAAAAUAAUUCAAAACA
Molecule: long non-coding RNA, 491 nt
Organism: Acipenser ruthenus (sterlet)
Lineage: Eukaryota; Metazoa; Chordata; Actinopteri; Acipenseriformes; Acipenseridae
Exons: 2
Source: RefSeq, a predicted model, not a curated record